AAACUUGUCUCGAGUAAUAAUAAGUAAAAUAAAAUAUACAUGCACUUAAUAACUAUAUAACUCACUCGAAGUUGAAGGGGAAGAGUAUUUUUUCUUUUUCUUUUUGUUCACAAAGAACCUCAUAAGAUUGGUGCAGACUUCUGUCUCAUGAGCUGCUGUCCACACUGCCUGCAGAGCCUUGAAACAAUAUAAGGGUCAACGAACUCAAUACUAUUGUCAUUUCUCAUUAUGAGCUCUGUCAUUUGGUGCCUGCAUAUAUACAUACAAAUCCUAAGUGUGUAAGGAUUAUAUACAUGUAAUUAAAGAAGUUAGAAGUAUAAUAAAAAAAAACUUACAGACAAAAGCAGCUG
Molecule: long non-coding RNA, 350 nt
Filed under: Sorghum bicolor (sorghum)
Lineage: Eukaryota; Viridiplantae; Streptophyta; Magnoliopsida; Poales; Poaceae
Description: long non-coding RNA (SBIC_LNC012024)
Source: RNAcentral